This is a long non-coding RNA of Gallus gallus (chicken), 2692 nucleotides long. Lineage: Eukaryota; Metazoa; Chordata; Aves; Galliformes; Phasianidae. The record is from Ensembl.
CUCCCAUUCCCCUCUUCUCUGUCCCUGGUAGGCUGCCUGGUCCUGCCCCAAACUGCUUCUUUCAGUCUUGCAAGGUAAAAUUUCUGCUAGGCUAUAACUUGCAUCAGUUCAGAGAGUCUGAUAAACAGCACAAGCAACUCAGCUGCCUGGAAGCCACCACAGUGCCAGUAAGGACUGGGGAAUUCUCAAGCAGGAGAAAACACAGCAUCAAACCUUAGGGUCAAGAAGGAGGAGAAUUUGGUUCUUGUCCUUGCUCCCAGAGCUGUUUCAUCAUCACUGGCAGAGGAGGAUAUAAGGAAGACACUGGGGUAAGGGUCCUCACAGCUAUCCACAGCACUGAAGUACAGCACCUCAUACGUUCUGCAGAAUUCCAGAACAAAAGAACCUGCCUUGGUCAGCUGCAUGAGCCAUCGCAGGCAUCUUACAUACUGCCAGAUCCAGAUCCUUCCAACUCUAAGGAUUCUAUGAUUCUAUGAACUAUGCAUGGUGUAUUGGCAAAAGAUGGCCACAUAUGCCCCGUUCUGAGGGCCUGUUCUGAGAUGCUGAAUCCUCCCCAAGGACUCAACAAGCAGCCUAAAGCCCUCACCCAGGGUUCAGGGCUCUGUUCAGGAAGUCAGACAUCAGCAGGUGCUGUGCCAUUUAACCUGUGGGCAACUGUGCUCUUUAUUGGAUUGGAACUGUCAGAUCAGAUCUUUAAAGUUAUUUGUGUUUGUGCUUUGCUCAGCAGUGUGUGCAAGAGAGCAGAAAUGCAAGCUACGUAGAUCUCCAUCCUGUGCAAGUGCACAGCUGAAAUAAUUACCAGAUGGUGAUGAAAGUGGCCCACAAGAGAAUCAUAUAACUCCAUCCUAAACAAGCAAAGAUAAAAUUAUUGUCUCAGAGGUAAAGGGGUAAUAGCAGCAGCCUUCAUUAAAGGAAAAGGAAGCUUUUAAUCUUAUGUACAGGGACUAGUUUCUCUUGCUAGAGAUAAUACCUGUAGGAAUAGAAGAAUCCUAAUGUUCCCAUGCUCCCUUAUGAAAUACUUUAAAAUGUGUUGCUGGAGACUGACUUUAAAUGCCUAUGAAGACAGCUCAUAAGGAGCAUGAAUCAUUCUGAUCUACCAGAACAAUGAACUGAGAUUCUUUUUUUUCAAAUGGAGAUGGUUUCUAUAAAAAUUAUCUUGUUUAUCUCUCAGAUAGGUCACACACAUCUUAACAAAUGGGGGCUUCUUGUAAGCUGAAACAAAUUAUUUGUCAGUUUAUUAUAUAAAUACUCAAAGUUAGUAAUUGAAGAGCUAAACUGUUUCAGCAGAUUUGCAACAAGGAGAAAGGUAUUGGAAUAGCUGAAAGUUUGCAGUUACACUGUAUUACUUCCAGUCACCCAUUUAACUUAAUGAAAUGUCUUAAGUAUAUGUCAGUAGUGAAGAUGACUUUCUCAUUUUCUAAAUGGCAUCUCAAUGUGUGACACUGCCCAACUGGACACUGCCUUUGCUCUCCAAAAUAUGAUAGAAAAGGAAAACAAAAGGAAAGAAAAUUACUCAAGAAGACAUGGGAAGAUGAAAAUCCAAAUGAAUCUGUCUCUGAAAAAGGUGAAUUCAGUAGAGACUGUGCUGUCGCUGCUGGUUUUAUGUAGAGCAUAGUCAGAUAGGAACAAUGAGGACAGCAAGAUUAUAAAACCCAGAUAGGUACCUAGAUAAUCAGACAGACAGCUUAUUUGUUUGCUUGGUUUUUCUUUUUGUUGAUUUGAAGCCAAAGAUCCAAGCUAAGAUCUCUGCAAAGGCAGAGCAGUUUGUAAGUGGUGUUUUCUCACAUAAAGUUGUCUGAGAGGCUAGGGAAGAAAGAUGAUGAGAAAUGGCACUUUUAGUGUUUUUUUUUAAUAAGAUGUAUUUGAACUAUGUUCUCUAUUCAACAUGUAUGCAGAUCAGCCUAAUAAUAAUGUACAUUAUAUUUAUAAAUUUCAAAGAAGAAAAUACUUCAGAGAAAGGAUAAGGUAAGUCUAGGGAGCCUUAAACAAACAUCUUUACAAACAUCUUUCUUUCAGAAGUUUUUUGGAGAAGACACUGAAUUUCAUCAUUAAAACCACAUUUAUAGAAGUUGACAGACUUAAUUUCAAAUGUGGUUCUAUCUCUCAGUCCAAGGGCACACACAUCCUCAUGGUAAAUACCCAUCUCAUUAUUUAUUAAAUCUUAACUGUGCAGAAUGGGUAAAGAUUCAGACCUUUGUUUAAAUUUCCCUGUAAGAAUUAGGUCACUUCUAAUCUUCACAUUUUAAUAACUUCCUCUUCAGAUGAAAUUUAAAUUGCUGAGAACUUUUGUGGGGGAGAAGAUAACUCCCAUAAUCCAUUCCAAGCAUCUCAUUUGAAUAACUUGAGAAAAACAGCAUGGCUUCAAGGAUCACUUGGUGCAGGGGAGCAGGAUUCUGGUGAGUGGCCACAACUCAGUGAGCAGUCUCAUGUUUACCACCAGGCUAGACACAGUUUGCCUUAGAUUUAGGGCUAGGACAAGUAGGAACAUUGACACAGUGUAAUUCAGAACAUCCCUCUGCUAGGCAUGAGCAUAGAUGGUGCAUCCCACUGAGGAAUCUCCAGUCAACAGAGAGAAAUGAGUGAAGAGCCGGCUGUCUCUGUGGCUCUGUUAUGAGUGUACCGUUAUGCAAGAGAUGGAUGAAAAGUACAAUCCCUCAAAAGACAAUAAUAAAUGUGCUUUGGUAAUGCCUGG